RNAcentral lists this long non-coding RNA (448 nucleotides) under Medicago truncatula (barrel medic). RNAcentral's name for it is "long non-coding RNA (MTRU_LNC000231)". Lineage: Eukaryota; Viridiplantae; Streptophyta; Magnoliopsida; Fabales; Fabaceae. The record is from RNAcentral.
UUGGAUGCCAAUUAUAGUGCGUUGAUGCCCUUUAAAUCAAAAAGUAAAAAAAGUUAAAACAAGUGGUAGGAAGGUUCCACAUGGUCAACAUGACUCAAGAACAGGAAGGGUGUUAUGAAGUUACUUGCAUAUAGGUGGACCCAUCUGGUAGCUGAAACAGUGGUAGCUAGUUUCAUCCAGUUUGGGGAGGAAGGUGUAAAAAGAGGGGAGGGAGGUGUGAAUACGAUAAUAUACAAGGCUGGUUGUGAGAUGUAUGUAUGGUAGCUAGUUUCACACAGCCAGCGGGCCUUCCAGUUCAGUCCAAUUGCUGCAGCGAUUUGGCACCCCUAUCUUUUUAUUUCAAGGGACAAAUUCAAGUCGGAUGCUUCAAGGAACAAGUCUAAUUUGGAGGGUUUGGAGCUUGACGGUAAAGUGGUUCUGGUUCCUUGAGGUGUGUUUCUGACGCGGA